CCUGUCCCAAGGCGAUCCCUCGGGAUUAGCCAUCACCAGGUUGUGCCCUCACGGAUAACAGGGCCUCUCGCUCGCGCAGCGCAACACCGAUCCUCGGAGCACAUACCCACGCGCAUCGGAGUGUAUACAUAUAUUCAAGGCCAUACAUUACAUCUCCCUUAACCUCACCAGAGCUUUGCUGAUUUGCAAGUUAGGGUGUCUGCAGGGAGUGACUCUCGCCUGUGCAAACACAGCAUUUGUCCCAGAUGGCAACAACCAAUAACGAUUUUCUCCUAACCAAAUUUUAAAGCGCGACAAAGGAUGCUGGAGCUGAUUGCGUCUGACGGCAGCACCUUGCGUUGCAGAGUUGCUUGAUAACGACGUUACACUAAGUGAUUUUUGCCUAUCGCCAGACCAUGCCGAGGACUUUCCUCCGCGUGCAAACAUAAAUCUCGCCAUGCAGGGAGAUGGUAGUCGCUCGUUCAUGAAGAGGAACUUUACUUGGGGGGGGACGGGGGGGAGAAAAAGAUUUACUGACAAAUAAUUGUCAUUUGCUAACCUUGUCGUGGCAAUCUUUAUUUUCUCUUUUUUCCGGAGGCGCUCUGAAUGUUGAAUGCCAGCAUCUGUUACAGACCGGAAAACAAGUAAACACUGAUAUUCCUGGUGGCUUUAAAAGAGCAUUUAACACUUAGCUUUCUACACUUGCCUUUACUAGGAAAAUUACUUCGGGAUGUGCUUCGAAUGCGUAUGAUGAUGAGUGUCUUGGAAAAAAUAAAAUAUAGAAAGCGGCCCCUUGCCACAGCCAGCCUGGAAGAAAUACGUGAGCCCUCCUGCCAGAUGUUGACAUUUUGAUUUGCGUGAAGGUAAACUUUUGAGUUGACAGCAUGUUUAAUUUUCUAAAACAUCCCUGAGAAAGAAGGUGCGCUCGCAGACAAUGACUUUGCAUCGUAAGCGAUUUCCAUCCGACCUGUAGCCUGGCAAACUAGUUCAGUGCAUCUUGAUUUCUGUUAUGUCUCUGUGCCUCUCCUCGGGUCGGUGCAAAGAGGGGGCAGCUCCCAGGGGAGCCACGGGGGCUGCCAGGAGGUGCGGGGGGAGCUGGAAGUCAGGGAAGGUGUUGAAUUAUUUCUCUGUGGCUCGUGUUGGGGCUCAUGGCUGGAGCCGGCCCCUCCUUGGGACCCUGGAGAACUUCCUACCUCUUCCAGGGGUGGAAAUAGAGCAAAGUGAGAGUGGCCUCUGCCCUCGUGGGGACAACGUUAGGGCUGUCCACACGGCUCACAAGCCUCCAGGCAUCCCCAGGCACAGAUCUGCCUCCCCGCUGCGGCGGGCAACACUAUUUUCUGGGUCUUGUUUCUGAGCUAAAAGAAGAUUUAGAUGUAGCAAGCUGCCAAAAAACGAGGGAGAGAAUUAGGUCCUAAGACAGGAGGAUAACUCUUUGCAAGUCACCUGUAAAUCCGCUGAGAGGAAAUGCUGUUGGUGACUGUAUCUUUGGGGUCUCUCCGGACUGCCUUGCUCAGCUUAUUCUAGCAUAUAAAGCAUGGCCAGACCCAAGAUGUCCUGCUGUAUUUCACCAGCCUCUCUGGUUUUCUGUCCCUGGAGAGGCAAGGAGAGCUUGCUUGCUUUUGCAAGGGGGCUUGAGAGUGCCCGUAGAUACAGUGAGGCUCCUGUACGUUGAGGUGUCCUGGCGCUAGGGACCCAAAGCGGGACAAUAUGCCAGGGACAGCAUCACAAGUGCCAAAUUAAGGGGAAUAAUUGUUUCCCUUGACCUGCCAGCUCUGCUCUGGCUAAUGGAGCCUGGUGUGCAGUUGGCCUUCAUGGCCCGAGGGAUGCUCUGCUGCUGUUCGGCCCGUGCCCCCUGCACAUUCAGCAGUGCGAGGAGCAAAGCACCUGCUUGCAGGAGCAAGCGAGCAUGUUAUUCAGAAAUACGCUUUGCAUUUGUAUGGGGCCAGCAUUUAAAAAACGACUGAGUCAGGACAAACAUGCAAUAUGUGAUGGGCCCUGCUGUAUCUAACAGGCAGGGAAAUGGCUGCGCUCCCUGGACCAGCAUUUCUGGACAGCAGAACUGCUUCUCUGACAUGUUCUUCAACGACAGCUGUGAUGCUCCGUCACGGGGGCUAGCGAGAAGUGCUGGUACCGUGCACGCCGGCAGAUCCCCGCAGUCACAGGACGCCAGGAACUGGGAAUCCGGCAGGGCUCCAGCGAGCACCCCUGCGGGAAGGCCCCCUCGGCAGCACGUCCCAGCGCCGCCUCGGCCCCGCGCUUCUGAAGUUCUUCGAGAGCUGCAGAGGGAAGACGCGACUGAAAUGCAAAGUGCUAUCAUCGCCGUUUUAGCCUCAGCUGAAAUGCGCUACCUAAGUGCAAAUUGCUGUUAUAAAUCAUAAACAUCAAAAGGCCAUAAGUGCCUAAUAAUGGCCUAAGUGGCUAAUUUGUUUUAUGUGCUACUGGAAGAAGCACUGUAAAGAUGUGGAACAAAAAAAAAUUUCCCCCAUUGCGGUUUGGCCUCUGCUACCAAGAAAGGCUGCAAAGGGGGUGGGAGCGAGAUGCUGCUUUGCUAGAUAUGCAAGAGCGUUUCCUUGCAAAGCCGGUAAUUAAAAACGCAGCGCCAAAGCCGGCAAGAGCCCGCUCCCCGUGGGAGGAGGAGGAGGCCGGCACUGGGGAGAGAGGAUGUCCGGGGCGGGAGACGCCGAGUGGGGCAGAUGUCUAGGGCCAGGGCUUGAACGGGGAGCGGGUUAUUAGUGGGAAAAGCCAAGGUGAUGGUGGUAUGGCAGCUGGAGCUGGUGGGCUCCAGCACCGUCCCCCGGGGAGGUGCAAACGCGCCUGCGGAAACCGCUGCCCCGGCUCACAGCUCCCACCGGCAUCGCUGCAAGCUGGGCACCACGGGAAGCCACUGCCUCUCCGAGCACCCAGGAGGCAAAGAGCAAAAAUAGCAGCCCCAGCAGGGCUGCCAGGACCCCUCCAGCCUGGUCCGGCUUUCCUGAGUCACCGCUUUAACGCAGCAUCUCCGGUUCCCACCCGAACUGCAGCUCUGUGCCCUCGCUCCAACUUUUAAUUGCUUUGGGCCUUUUGGGGUUGUGCAGUGCUUUCAAGGCUCUUUCUGGCUGGCAGCACCUGUGAAACCAGCCUUGGAGAACCAUAAAUACCAUAAUCCAGCCCUUCUGUGCCCUGCAGAUAUGUUCUUAGCGUGCAACUAUUAUGCUCGCAGGGUCAGGGCUGCCUUUCCAUGCUGCUCGCGCCGGGAAGGCUCAGCGCAUCGCACCCCACGGCGCGGCUGCUGCGGCUCCGAGAGGGGACGUGGCGUGCUGAAUCCCGCGGGUCCGCGGCUUUCCUCCCCGACCUGCGUCAACGCUCAGCAUCCGCACAGCCCCGCGUGGUGAAGUGGGUUUGAAGACCCCACCAGGGUGGAAAGCGCUCUGCCCAAGGACAUCUGGUAGCCGCCUGCCACCACGGUGUGCACAGAUAAUUACCAGGGCUGAACAAAGCCGCUCGUUGCCGUUAACCCACCGAGGAAAGUCCAGUGCAAUCAAAGCCGUCUGGGUUUCCAGUCUGCAAAUGCAUGGGUGUUUGCAAGCAAAUUCGGUGCAGCAGCAGCAUCCCAGCAAGCACAGAGGAGAUGCUAAAUGGAUCCAGUCUGUGGGCCAGGAUCCCUCCAUGACCCCGUCAGCGCUGACAUGGGCUGGGCAGGGCGGGUGAUGGCUCCCAGGGCCAGCCUGUGCCCUGGUAUCUAUUUUCUGUAGAUAUUGUGGCUUUAAUUGUGUGCUGGGUGGCAGAGCAAGCAUGGGGGGUGGGUGGGGAGGAUCUCAGGCAAUGGCAAGGAAGGGGCACGUCAUGCUGUAAGUCACCACGGGCGGUUUUCACAACCGGCCCCGAUCCAGGGCCAGCUUCUUCCUGUUGCAGGUGUCUCUCUGCAGCAGUCGUUGCUCGGGACUGUCCACCAACACAGCUCCAGCUUCCCCUUCUGCCUGUCACAUGAACUCAAGGACACCGAAAUCCAAAGCAAGGCUCUGCUCCAGGAUAGACCUAUGCCCCCGACAUCCAGCACUAAAGAAAAUCGAUGGUUCACUCCAGCACAUGAAAAACUGCUCGUGCCAGUCAGAGCCUUGGAUGCAGUGGGACUAGAGGGGUCCUGCUAUGGAUGGUGCUGCUACUUUCUCUUCAUCUUGCUUCUGCCUGCCAUCAGCGCUGUCACUACGGGAUGAAGCCCUGAAUAAUGAGUACAGAGGAGCUCUCGUUUCACAAAACCGCCAAGGAUCUGCUGGAAGACCAUUUACAAGCCCAGAAGACAUGAAAGCAGCAGACAACAUUGCUGCGCACACAGAAAGCAGGUAUAACAUCAAGAGAAGCACUACAGCCCCAAUUUCACAGGCAGGGAAUUGAGGCAGAAUGGGAGAAAUCCUGAUGUUAGGUCAAAGCUGAAGGCAAGAAGAGUUUAGUGGGCUGAGAAUUUCAGUCUGAGAGACGAGGGCCAGUGUUUCCCUACACCGAGCGGUGGAUGGCAGAGAGAGUUUGGCUCCGAGUCAAGCGCCAGAUGAAACUCCCAUGGUUUCAAGCGAGUUCCUGGUAUAGAUGCUGAGCUCUCUGGAAAACCCAGCUCUCCCACUGGCACGGGGUACUGCUGGGUGCCGAACUCCUCUAAGGAUCUGGCAUAACGCCAGCUGAGCUUCUGGAAAUCAGCUCUCCAUGCAGGGGGCUGACUAUCUGAGAGCAAAGUCCUGAGUUUCUCUGACUUUCUCUACUCUCCCCUCAAUACACUUUGCUGAUGGCCAGUUAGGGAACUGGUGGUCGAGCACCGAACCGGAGCCAGAUGCUGAGUGCUCCUGUCCAGAGGGGUCACCUAAAUGACAGAAAGGAUCCCCGCACCGCCUCUGGCGCAGAGUUCAGAGCUCUAAAGCCUAGUGUAGCCCCAGGGGAUGCUCACACAGAAGCACCAGAGUUCACACCUCCAUUGGGCUUCUCAGCCCAGAUGGACACAUGCAGGACUCCAAACCACAGAGCAUGCAAGGAAAUGUGUGCUUUCAUCUGAGAGCAAACACUUGGUAGUGACUUGAUAAAAUGCUUGAGAGGCCAAAUAAAAAAAAAAGAAAAAAAGAAACUUGAGUGGUAGCUGCCCCAAGUGGACCUCAGAAGCAACUCGAAUAACACUGGAAGGAAAAGAAGAGAUGCACAUGGUUAGAAAAGCAACUGUCAUUUAUUAUGUUUAUUCACAGUAGCGACACUGCAAGCCUACUCUCUGUCUCCAGUAAAGAACAGGCGGCCAACUUUUGCAUGAGUUAGUAGCAGGGUAUGAACGUGCCGUCUUCGGCAUCACACCUCGUCCACCUAACGCACCAGAGGAACUCGCCGGCUCAUCGGUGUAGCGGACUGCUCUCCGUUACUUUGACAGCCGCUGGAGAGAGAAACAUGACAAACGCUCAGCCAGCGACUGGCCUUGAGUGAGGGAGCAGAACGCUUCACCUCCUCGAGGUUUAGCUGUGCAACUCGGAAAUCACAGCACAACAUAAACCCCUGUGAAACUUUUCUUCAAACAAGGCUAUUCCUGCUGUUUUCUUCCAAGCCUUUCUCUGCUCCAGGCUCUUUAAAGGAGCCAGGCCACCCCAGCGCCCUGCUGCAGGUCGGGGUUAAAAAGCCCCACCUGUGAGCAUGGGAGAGCUGAAAAGCAGGGUCUCCCCAGAGGGUCCUGCUGCUCUAAGCAUCUGUCCAAGCAGCAAAGAUCCUUUGUGUGUGCUCUUCAAGGGAGGCAGUAUUGGCUAUUAAGUAAAGCAACUGGAAAGCUUGAAAAGCAACUGGAAAGCUUGAGAUUGCAGUUCUACAAAUCUGAAAGAGCAUGUAUUCCUGUAUUUUAUGUCAUUUUACUACUCUUAGUUCCUCUAGGAACAUCAUCUUCCUAGAUUUUGAAAAUACUGUCUUCCGUCACAGUUUAAUUAAUCUCGCACUCUCAGGGGCUAUAAUUUUGACUGUCUAAAAUGUACGAUACUGUUCUUGGAAAUAAUUUUAGGGCUCACUAUAUUAUCGCUGUCUCCUGAUUUCACAUCAUCAUUGUUUAUUACAUAAAUAAAAGUCCUGUCUUGGCUUGCCCUAAAUUCUGGUUACUUCAAGACUGGUCAUUUUCUCUGGAAUUUUAUUGAUUUAUCUCCAUUGCUAUAGCACCCCUAAACUCUCGAGAAGGUCAGCUCAGUGCCCAGGAGCAUCCAACUCUUUAGAGGAACAAAAUUCCUCUACUGAACCAUUUUGGGAGUGUUGUAGGCUAUCGUGGCAACCCCAGUCAUUCCAGUGCAUUUGACAUACGGGGAAAAUGGGGGGGUCUGCUAUGUUGUGCAAGGCAGUCCUAAUAAUGAAGUUCCUUUCAUUUUGCUGCAAGAAAAAAAAUGGGCAGAAGAAUCUUUCCUACUAUGGGAAAAAAACGAUAACUUAGUCUAGAUGAGCUACCAAAAAUGGAGCCUCACUUACACCUUAUUGUUGGAGAAACAGUCCCAGAAAAACAGUGCUUUCUACAUGGAAAGCAAUGUCUGAAGUAGUUCUGAAAGCGCUUCCUGGCAAAAUGCAACAUCUGACACUCUGUCUGUGAAGGUCUGAAUAAAGAAAAUGGAAAAAAUACAGAAUAAUCCAUGCUUAAUAUAGAUCUUCAGUAUCUUUUGCAGCUCCAUGCUGUAGACUGAGAUGCAUGUGGUGCCUAAACAGCUCUUCACUCUUAUUUGUAUGAUGAUCACAGUGUAUCCUCCCCAAAUUUGCACCUUACACUAUGAAUACAGAAUUAAUUUUCUGAGCCUCAACAUAAGUAAAUUAACUUCAUAUCAAUUUUAAAAAUCAGUCUUUUAAAAAAAGGAGACAGAAUCUUAAUAAUGAGAGAGAGAUUUCAUACCCUCAAAACUGCGGAGUCCAAAUUUUCCCCAAAUCAAGCAAAUAGCCAGCAGCAUUACAAGACCAAUUGGUGAAAACCAUGUUAAAUAACUUGCUGUGAAAGGAUGUUAUUUGUAUCCUAUAUACUCUUAAAACAUUUUUUUCAAAUCCAUGAAGGCUAAUGUCUUUUUUUUGUUAUUUUUUUACAAGCUGAGAUUACUAAAUAGCCACUUGUCUUCAGCUGCAGAGACUCUAGAGAUGCUUUCAGACACCAGAGAUGGAGCUGAAAGGAGGUCCCAGCACUCAGCUGCCAGAAUACCAUUAGUGCGACCAGAGUGAAAACAAAAGAAAGGACUUGGUGGGCGUUCUGGUAAGCUGAUAAGAUAUCUAGGCUAUAUAUGUUUAAGCAUGGAAACAAACGCACAUAUUAAAUACAAACAUGGGAAGAAGAGAAGAGAAAUCACUGAAAUGUAAGUGUGUGAAAUGCGAAAAGCAGAAAGGAAAAUUGUAAAAUCAAUAUAAAGGGAAAUGAAAAGAGAAUUGAGGAUCAACUGAAAGCAAAUAGAAAGCAAGAGGGAAGAAAAAAAACCCAACAGUCAACAAAUUGGGAUCUUGAUGAGAUAACACUGUCAGGCCAGCGAGUCAUGCUCUGAUUUUACAGUUGGCUGAAAUAAUAAAGCCCUAUUAAGUUAAGAUGUUCAGAAAAGGUAUUUAAUACUUGAAGUGUGUCUGGCCUUUCCCGGCUGCGGUCCGCUGUGUGGUCCCAGAGCGUGGCAGUGGGUGCAGUCCCAGCCGCCAGCAGGGCCACGGGGCCGGAGGGAGUAGGACGUGGUUCUCCAGCAGCCCUGCGAAAGGUGUGUGUCUAGAUCCGGUCCGUGAGCCACCCAAACGUCCUAACUGUCUAAGGUGUGCUGUGAAAGACUGUUCCAUCCUUUGAGGCUGCUC
Long non-coding RNA from Dromaius novaehollandiae (emu), 7755 nucleotides. RefSeq lists it as uncharacterized. NCBI's taxonomy places the organism in Eukaryota, Metazoa, Chordata, Aves, Casuariiformes, Dromaiidae. The transcript is spliced from 5 exons. The record is from RefSeq and is a predicted model, not a curated record.